Molecule: ribosomal RNA, 253 nt
Filed under: uncultured bacterium
Lineage: Bacteria
Description: partial 16S ribosomal RNA
Rfam family: Bacterial small subunit ribosomal RNA
Source: RNAcentral
UACGUAGGGCGCAAGCGUUGUCCGGAAUUAUUGGGCGUAAAGAGCUCGUAGGCGGCCAGUUGCGUCUGCUGUGAAAUCCCGGGGCUCAACCCCGGGCGUGCAGUGGAUACGGGCUGGCUAGAGGCAGGCAGGGGAGAACGGAAUUCCCGGUGUAGCAGUGAAAUGCGUAGAUAUCAAGUGGAACACCAGUGGCGAAGGCGAGUCUCUGGACAUUUCCUGACGCUGAGGCACGAAAGCCAGGGGAGCAAACGGG